AUGAAAUGAGUUAGUUACUUUAGCUUAGUGUAGUUUGUUAGUAGUUUUUCGCAAUAAGUUAUGAACAACUAAAAAAAAUUGUUCAUAACAAUUGGUGCUUUCAUUGAGAGUUCAUUAAUAUGGAUUCUCCUCCCUACCAUCACUAUGAUCCUACCAUCAUCACCACUCAUACUUUGUUGAAACCACAAACCUAUCAACACCCAACAUCCAUCAACACUCAUAUAUCACCUGCACCUACAUACCCAAAUUCCAUUGACAAUAACUCCUUUCACUACCUUAUUCGUCACGUUUAAUAUGUUACCAAACAACUACAUCAUUCCCAUAGAGCCUGCCUCCAUUCCAUUUCCAGUUUCGCCUCUCAAAUUUCAACAUUGAAUAGCAUCCCCACACCUUUCAUCCAUCACAAACCACUCUCCAAUUCUAUACCAACCUUCAAAGCCACAAUGGUUACCAAGUACCCAUGCAUCACCAACCACAUCCCUCACUCUAUAAUAACCAACAUUCCAGUAUCACAAUCAAUACAAGACCCUUCAACAUUCAUCCUACCACAAACCACGAUCACCCCUCCAAAUUUCACCUACCAACAACUUAUUCUCAUUCAACCACAACCAUUCCUUCUCCAUGGAUCUCGUAUACCUCCCUUCACCAAACUUCAACCAAUUCCCAAUUCCAAUGUUCACAGAUCCAGUGCUUCCCAGGAUUUGUUGCAUCACACAAAUCACCCACUGUGCCACAGCGAA
RNAcentral lists this long non-coding RNA (740 nucleotides) under Trifolium pratense (red clover). Its description in RNAcentral is "long non-coding RNA (TPRA_LNC011724)". Lineage: Eukaryota; Viridiplantae; Streptophyta; Magnoliopsida; Fabales; Fabaceae. The record is from RNAcentral.